This 27-nucleotide non-coding RNA is filed under the name Bombyx mori (domestic silkworm). Lineage: Eukaryota; Metazoa; Arthropoda; Insecta; Lepidoptera; Bombycidae. The record is from RNAcentral.
UAGUCGAUAAAACCUAGAUAGAGUGGC